RNAcentral lists this long non-coding RNA (754 nucleotides) under Homo sapiens (human). Its description in RNAcentral is "HSALNT0063671". Lineage: Eukaryota; Metazoa; Chordata; Mammalia; Primates; Hominidae. The record is from RNAcentral.
CUUUGCAGGGGCUAGGUGGGGGAGAUUACCUGCUAAACGGAGGGCAGGUAGAAUAUGGCUGAAAGGCAAAGGUGUCUAUAGCACCUGUGAAGCAAGAUCAAAAGAAUACGGGAAAGACACUGAUCUCUGAAAAAGUCAAACAAAGAGACCAUGGGUUCAACACUUGAGACUUCAAUAGCAGAUGCCAACAAGCCAUACCAAAGCCUGAAGAAGUCACUAAUGUGAAAGCCAAAGGACAAAGAGGAAAGUAGGUGAUCCUUCAUGUGUGCAUCUCAGAUCUGAGGAGCUAUAAAAGAGACAUCAUACCAGACUCUACUCCAGAAUGGAAAUGUCCAAUGCCUAAUCAGAAGCCAGGGAGUAGGGUGAAUGCGAUAGAUAAGAGAUCAUCAUCCCAACCUGCAGCCCUCAUUACUGCUCGUUCUAUGGAGUAGUCAUUUUUUGUUUUUGUUGUUUCUUUACUUCUCUAAGAAACUUGCUUUUGCUUAAAAAAAAAUAAAAAUAAAGGAGAUAAGAGAACAUCCAAUAAAAGAAGGCAAAUGUUGUGUGCAUAGAGAUUACUAGGUUAAGGAAAGCAGGCCAACUAGCAUUAAACCAACCCAUACCUUUGUUCAACACUUAGAAUGAAAUCUAAAUUUAUUUCUCUGGCGUUGAAUAAGCCUAUGACAUCAACCUGAACUACUCUUCUGCUCACAGCAUUCCAGACACAUUGACUAUUUCAUGCAUCUUUGUCCUUAUUGCUAUACCUGGAAUUCUA